This 366-nucleotide long non-coding RNA is filed under the name Coturnix japonica (Japanese quail). RNAcentral describes it as "lncRNA (ENSCJPG00005013223.1)". The record is from RNAcentral. Lineage: Eukaryota; Metazoa; Chordata; Aves; Galliformes; Phasianidae.
AUGUUUCAGAAGAUAAUUGAUACAUGUUUGGAAAAAAAAAAAAAAAGAAGAAGAAGAAAAAAAAAGAAAAUGCAUGUUAAAAAUACAGGUGCUCCUCAAAGGAAGUGCUGGGGUGUUUUUGGCUUCUCUGUUAUUACAGCAAUGAGGCACUACCUACAGUCUAUGAUGUGGGUGCCAGCAUAUGAAGAACCAGCCAGAGGCACACCUGGAAAAAAUGCUUCCUGUAUUAGUCCCACACAAGAGCAUUAUCCGCAGUAACCUUCUUUGGAGACUCUGAGACACCGUGACAGACAUUAUGGAGGAAAAUCAUGGCAUUUUGAAGCUGCACUGCUGCCAUUACAGAAAAUAAAUGGAAGGGGGAAGACA